Molecule: long non-coding RNA, 736 nt
Filed under: Fukomys damarensis (Damara mole-rat)
Lineage: Eukaryota; Metazoa; Chordata; Mammalia; Rodentia; Bathyergidae
Description: lncRNA (ENSFDAG00000022032.1)
Source: RNAcentral
GUGGUUUAUGACAACGAUCAACAUCACACUCAUGGUCCUGGCAUGGAGAAGUAGGAAGGAAUGGAAGUUUAUGGUGUACCUUUGUCUAUAUUUAGAGACAGAAUCCCUUUUCCUUUAUUUAAACCUUUUUGCCUCUUAGUACUAUGCCGCGUGACUGAUCCUUGGAGAAGCUACUACAGAAACUCCUGUGAGACCUGCCGUGGCAGCUCUGGCUGUGGCUCUGCCUAUGGCUGGGGCUAUGGUUCUGGCUGUGGCUAUGGCUGUGGCUCUGGCUCUGGCUGUGGAUGGAAGUCUGGCUGCUGUAGCUACCGACCGGUUUGCUACAGAAUUUGCUACGCCUCUCGCUGUUAAUGACCACGAGAUGAAAAUUUUCCUCGGAAGCCCUCAAGAUCAAGCUGAGUAGAACACCCCUUCAUUUAAACCAAAGCAAGUAUUGAUUACUGACUGCUGGACACCUGGAAUAACCACAAAGCGUCUGACUCCAUUGAGGUAGCCUGAUUAGACCUAUUACAUCACUGAGGACAGAUGUUACUGUUGAAUGUGGCUCUGGCUGUGAAUGUUAUCCUGCUAUAGCUGUGGAUACUCCUAUCGAUGUUGUUGCUAUUGAGUCUUUUGGUAUAGAAUAUGCUUUUAUUCUUGCUGUUAGUCACCACAAUAUUUCAUGCUUUCCCUUUAAAUUACUACCUCAAGUGCAAAUUCAAUUGAAAUCUCACAUAUAUCAACUUCAGAUCCAAGG